Molecule: ribosomal RNA, 301 nt
Filed under: uncultured bacterium
Lineage: Bacteria
Description: partial 16S ribosomal RNA
Rfam family: Bacterial small subunit ribosomal RNA
Source: RNAcentral
CAGUAGCCACGGUAAUACGAAGGGUGCAAGCGUUAAUCGGAAUUACUGGGCGUAAAGCGUGCGUAGGCGGUGAGUUAAGUCUGCUGUGAAAUCCCCGGGAUCAACCUGGGAAUGGCAGUGGAUACUGGCUCGCUAGAGUGUGUCAGAGGAUGGUGGAAUUCCCGGUGUAGCGGUGAAAUGCGUAGAGAUCGGGAGGAACAUCAGUGGCGAAGGCGGCCAUCUGGGACAACACUGACGCUGAGGCACGAAAGCGUGGGGAGCAAACAGGAUUAGAUACCCCCGUAGUCCCUGUCUCUUAUAC